Molecule: small nucleolar RNA, 78 nt
Organism: Arvicola amphibius (Eurasian water vole)
Lineage: Eukaryota; Metazoa; Chordata; Mammalia; Rodentia; Cricetidae
Product: small nucleolar RNA SNORD115
Exons: 1
Source: RefSeq, a predicted model, not a curated record
AGGUCAAUGAUGACAAAAAAAGUCACAAAGAGAGAUGAUGGCAUAAACAUCAUGCUCAAUAGGAUUACACAGAAGCCC